Molecule: ribosomal RNA, 256 nt
Filed under: uncultured bacterium
Lineage: Bacteria
Description: partial 16S ribosomal RNA
Rfam family: Bacterial small subunit ribosomal RNA
Source: RNAcentral
UACGUAGGCAGCAAGCGUUGUUCGGAGUUACUGGGCGUAAAGGGUGCGUAGGCGGCUUUUUAAGUUUGGUGUGAAAUCUCCCGGCUCAACCUGGAGACGCCACUCGAUACUGCCAUGGCUAGAGUCCGGUAGGGGACCACGGAAUUCCUGGUGUAGCGGUGGAAAUGACGCAGAUAUCAGGAGGAACACCGGUGGCGAAGGCGGUGGUCUGGGCCGGCACUGACGCUGAGGAGCGAAAGCGUGGGUAGCAAACAGG